UACGUAGGGACCGAGCGUUGUCCGGAAUCAUUGGGCGUAAAGAGCGUGUAGGCGGCCACUUAAGUCCUGCGUGAAAUCUUGCGGCUCAACCCCGGGUCGGCCGUGCGAACUGUCGAGCUGGAGCACUGUAGAGGCAGGUGGAAUUCCGGGUGUAGCGGUGGAAUGCGUAGAGAUCCGGAAGAACACCGGUGGCGAAGGCGGCCUGCUGGGCAGUGGCUGACGCUGAGGCGCGACAGCGUGGGGAGCAAACAGG
RNAcentral lists this ribosomal RNA (253 nucleotides) under uncultured bacterium. RNAcentral describes it as "partial 16S ribosomal RNA". It matches the Rfam family "Bacterial small subunit ribosomal RNA", at positions 524 to 776 of the family's 1533-position model. The record is from RNAcentral.